RNAcentral lists this ribosomal RNA (622 nucleotides) under uncultured rumen bacterium. Its description in RNAcentral is "bacterial SSU rRNA". It matches the Rfam family "Bacterial small subunit ribosomal RNA", at positions 847 to 1482 of the family's 1533-position model. The record is from RNAcentral.
CCAAGAGAAUCGUUAAGCAUCCCACCUGGGAGUACGCCGGCAACGGUGAAACUCAAAGGAAUUGACGGGGCCCGCACAAGCGGAGGAACAUGUGGUUAAUUCGAUGAUACGCGAGGAACCUUACCCGGGCUUGAACUGCCAGCGAACGAUUCAGAGAUGAUGAGGUCCUUCGGGACGCUGGUGGAGGUGCUGCAUGGUUGUCGUCAGCUCGUGCCGUGAGGUGUCGGCUUAAGUGCCAUAACGAGCGCAACCCUUUUCUUUAGUUGCCAUCAGGUAAUGCUGGGCACUCUGGAGAUACUGCCACCGUAAGGUGUGAGGAAGGUGGGGAUGACGUCAAAUCAGCACGGCCCUUACGUCCGGGGCUACACACGUGUUACAAUGGGGGGUACAGAGAGUCGGAUCAACGCAAGUUGGUUCUAAUCCUAAAAGCCUUCCUCAGUUCGGAUUGGGGUCUGCAACCCGACCCCAUGAAGCUGGAUUCGCUAGUAAUCGCGCAUCAGCCAUGGCGCGGUGAAUACGUUCCCGGGCCUUGUACACACCGCCCGUCAAGCCAUGAAAGCCGGGGGCGCUUGAAGUCCGUGACCGCAAGGAUCGGCCUAGAGCGAAACUGGUAAUUGGGGCU